RNAcentral lists this unclassified non-coding RNA (608 nucleotides) under Zea mays. RNAcentral describes it as "misc RNA Zm00001eb251830". The record is from RNAcentral. Lineage: Eukaryota; Viridiplantae; Streptophyta; Magnoliopsida; Poales; Poaceae.
UUGGUAGUACAGGACAGUACCGAUGCAGGCGCAGUCGGACGAAAUGGCGAGCAGCUAGCGGAGAGCUGCUGCAGAUUGCAUUCAAUGAAUUUGCUUGCUGCCGAGGGGGCGACCUCUCACAGUUACGUAGUAUUGAUCAUCCAGAAGCCAGAAGGAGAGGAAAUAAAUGGCAAAAGAAAAGUAUUCGUACUAUUGAGCCACAACGAUGCGUGCUACUGAUUCUAACCUCUAUUCCAACAACUACUAAGCUCGGUAUCAAAUCAAAACAGCACGAAAUGACGAGCUACCUAGCUAGCUCUGCCUCAUCAUUUGAUGAAUCAGCUCGGAUUAAAAAAACAGAAACUUUCCGGGAGCAAAUCGGGGGUCUUGUAUGAAACACGCGCACGGUUCUUGAAUCGCGCACCAGGGAUUAACAAAUGACUGGAGCAAAUUAACUAAUGGAGGCAAAGUACGCUUGGCUGGAAUAAACAAAGAGUCAGGAUCCCGGGGAGGGAGCAAGCAGCCAAGCACCCCGGACGCAGUACAGGAAGGAGAUGGAGUCUGGCAGGGCGCCGAGAGGAGAGGGAGGGAAAUGCCGUACGUACGUGUGGGUUGGCCGUAGAAGCGGG